This 447-nucleotide ribosomal RNA is filed under the name uncultured bacterium. RNAcentral's name for it is "bacterial SSU rRNA". It matches the Rfam family "Bacterial small subunit ribosomal RNA", at positions 328 to 792 of the family's 1533-position model. The record is from RNAcentral.
AGCCCAGACUCCUACGGGAGGCAGCAGUGGGGGAUAUUGCACAAUGGGGGAAACCCUGAUGCAGCGACGCCGCGUGAGUGAAGAAGUAUUUCGGUAUGUAAAGCUCUAUCAGCAGGGACGAAAAUGACGGUACCUGAGUAAGAAGCCCCGGCUAACUACGUGCCAGCAGCCGCGGUAAUACGUAGGGGGCAAGCGUUAUCCGGAAUUACUGGGUGUAAAGGGAGCGUAGACGGCAAUGCAAGCCUGGAGUGAAAGCCCGCGGCCUAACCGCGGGACUGCUUUGGAAACUGUGAAACUGGAGUGCAGGAGAGGUAAGUGGAAUUCCUAGUGUAGCGGUGAAAUGCGUAGAUAUUAGGAGGAACACCAGUGGCGAAGGCGGCUUACUGGACUGUAACUGACGUUGAGGCUCGAAAGCGUGGGGAGCAAACAGGAUUAGAUACCCUCGUA